Molecule: long non-coding RNA, 247 nt
Filed under: Lathyrus oleraceus (garden pea)
Lineage: Eukaryota; Viridiplantae; Streptophyta; Magnoliopsida; Fabales; Fabaceae
Description: Pisum sativum (pea) long non-coding RNA (PSAT_LNC016034)
Source: RNAcentral
GCUUGGGCAGGGUGUGUGUGUUAUUCUUGAAGCAAUGCACUUGUAUUUAUAGGCUAUGAAAUUCAGUUUUGCACCAUCUGAAAAUUGACCAAAAAUAGCAAUAUUGUGCAUGGGUGCAGGGGCAUUAGAUUAGGCCCAACCAAUGAUGCUAUCCACUUCUAAUUCGUGCACAACGGAUACUGAAAUCAUCACAUGGAAGCAUGCAAAGGGAAAUAAUCAUUUGAGCUCAAAUAUUGCCAAAACAAAC